AACGGUCUAUACCUGCGGUACCUGCGGAAGGAUCAUUACCGAGUUUACAACUCCCAAACCCCAUGUGAACAUACCUGUUUCGUUCCCUCGGCGGUGUCCGGCAACGGCCCGCCAGAGGACCCAACAAACUCUUUUGAAUUUUUCAGUAUCUUCUGAGUGAAAAAAACAAUAAAUCAAAACUUUUAACAACGGAUCUCU
Molecule: unclassified non-coding RNA, 198 nt
Filed under: soil metagenome
Description: partial contains 5.8S ribosomal RNA, internal transcribed spacer 2, and large subunit ribosomal RNA
Source: RNAcentral